RNAcentral lists this unclassified non-coding RNA (337 nucleotides) under soil metagenome. RNAcentral's name for it is "partial contains 5.8S ribosomal RNA, internal transcribed spacer 2, and large subunit ribosomal RNA". The stretch from base 1 to 120 matches the Rfam family "5.8S ribosomal RNA", at positions 35 to 154 of the family's 154-position model. The record is from RNAcentral.
GAUGAAGAACGUAGCGAAAUGCGAUAAGUAAUGUGAAUUGCAGAAUUCAGUGAAUCAUCGAAUCUUUGAACGCACAUUGCGCCCGCCAGUAUUCUGGCGGGCAUGCCUGUUCGAGCGUCAUUUCAACCAUCAAGCCCCCGGGCUUGUGUUGGGGACCUGCGGCUGCCGCAGGCCCUGAAAAGCAGUGGCGGGCUCGCUGUCACACCGAGCGUAGUAGAUUUUAUCUCGCUCUGGGCGUGCUGCGGGUUCCGGCCGUUAAACCACCCUUCUAACCCAAGGUUGACCUCGGAUCAGGUAGGAAGACCCGCUGAACUUAAGCAUAUCAAUAAGCGGAGGA